UCUUUUAUCCUUACUUUUCUUAAUUAGUUCAUCUAUAAUUAUAGGCACCAAGACUACCAGGUGCUUGAAUGUGAGUAUGCAAAAGAGGCUUGAACUUUUUUGGCUCCUCUGCUGAUGCAGACAAAGCGUGAGGAUAAACAAAUUGCUUUUGCCGGGAAGAGCUUUACCAAAUUUAAGAAUCACAAUAACCUUGGCAAUGAAGGUUUGAGAUGAGUAGCUCAGGUCAUUUUAAAAGUAUGCAAAUCUCUACUAAGUUUCAUUCUAUUUGCUCGGAAUAUUUGAACUAUGUUGUCCUUCUGGCUUAUCAGGUAAAAAAAAAACAACAAUAGACUAUAUAACAGCUUGGAGGAGCGACACUGAUGAACUUGAUGAACUUGCAUUCAAUUUGGGAGGAGG
RNAcentral lists this long non-coding RNA (396 nucleotides) under Eucalyptus grandis. Its description in RNAcentral is "long non-coding RNA (EGRA_LNC007950)". The record is from RNAcentral. Lineage: Eukaryota; Viridiplantae; Streptophyta; Magnoliopsida; Myrtales; Myrtaceae.